This 460-nucleotide ribosomal RNA is filed under the name uncultured bacterium. RNAcentral describes it as "partial 16S ribosomal RNA". It matches the Rfam family "Bacterial small subunit ribosomal RNA", at positions 338 to 795 of the family's 1533-position model. The record is from RNAcentral.
CCUACGGGAGACAGCAGUGAGGAAUAUUGGUCAAUGGACGAGAGUCUGAACCAGCCAAGUAGCGUGAAGGAUGACUGCCCUAUGGGUUGUAAACUUCUUUUAUAUGGGAAUAAAAUGUUCCACGUGUGGGAUUUUGUAUGUACCAUAUGAAUAAGGAUCGGCUAACUCCGUGCCAGCAGCCGCGGUAAUACGGAGGAUCCGAGCGUUAUCCGGAUUUAUUGGGUUUAAAGGGAGCGUCGGUGGAUUGUUAAGUCAGUUGUGAAAGUUUGCGGGUCAACCGUAAAAUUGCAGUUGAAACUGGCAGUCUUGAGUACAGUAGAGGUGGGCGGAAUUCGUGGUGUAGCGGUGAAAUGCUUAGAUAUCACGAAGAACUCCGAUUGCGAAGGCAGUUCACUGGACUGCAACUGACACUGAGGCUCGAAAGUGUGGGUAUCAAACAGGAUUAGAUACCCCAGUAGUC